GGGGUCUGUCAGAGCUUGACAAUGCAGACCAGGAGGGUAAAAUUCCCCAUUGUGCAGUUAGUGGCAGCGCUUGUUAAAGUAGAGUGACUGCCAGAUUGUGUCGCGCCAACUUUCCAGCUCAUGGGAUAUGGUGAACGAGUUUUUAUCUCCCCCAAACAGACACAUCCGACUGCCUCCUGAGGGCUUUUAUGAAGAGAAUGUGAGUCAGUGGGGAAGAUGGCCUCAGGCAAGCAUUUGGGCGAUGGUGUCCUGGUGACAGACCCCUCUCUCCUGUGGAAUGAAGCUUGUCAGAAGACAUCAGCGUGAUUCUCCUCAAGAGAACAUACUGGCCCAAUCUGCAUCACUAGCUGGGGUGGAUGGCUGCCUGUGUCUCGAAUCGUCCUUUGCACAGAGGAAGUGUGCUGUGACAGAGCCGCGCGGAUUUCUAAUCUUGUCUGUGCAUAUAUCCUCGCCUUAUCUGGAACCUGCCUUCUCCUGCCAAAAACACUGAACCUUUACGAUUAGAACCGGCCCUCUGUGGAACUAUCCGUGGCCGUGCUGAUAGAGCCGCUGUUGGGUUUUGAAAAAAGAUGCCGUUCAUUUUAAAGUGCCAGUCUGCUAAAGCUGUCAGACUGAAAAGGUUUGGGUAAUUUUAGAGGUGUCAGACUCAAUUUCAUAACAUUGUCACUGAUGCGUAUUUUCAGAGUGCUCCUCUAUCUUUUCACACUCCUGGCUGAUUUGGAAUAAAAAAUAUAUUUUCCCUCA
Cyprinus carpio (common carp) is the source of this 744-nucleotide long non-coding RNA. The record is from Ensembl. Lineage: Eukaryota; Metazoa; Chordata; Actinopteri; Cypriniformes; Cyprinidae.